This 6018-nucleotide unclassified non-coding RNA is filed under the name Leishmania donovani. Its description in RNAcentral is "gene:LdHU3.32.0400(CDS-product:intraflagellar_tra nsport_protein_140_putative)". Lineage: Eukaryota; Euglenozoa; Kinetoplastea; Trypanosomatida; Trypanosomatidae. The record is from RNAcentral.
CCACAGUAGAAGCAGAAAGGCAGAUACCUCACACUUCCCUCUCCACUGUGCGCACCAGCUACUUCACCACAUCAUCUCUCGUUUGCGGAGCAAGAGUCAGAGCGAACGGGCGACAACGCGGCAACACUGCAACGACGCACCGCCACUCCCACUUUUCUGCUUUUGCAGUUUCCUUGCUCGCGUUGUGUUUUUCACGUUCUCUUCCUCCACCUCCAGUCUUCGUUUGCCGAAUACGAAACGAGUUGCACGUGCGCAGUGGGGCGUGUGCGUGUGUGUGCUCCGGCCAUCUUUCAUGUUAUGUAUAUUCUGUGUUUGGCUUUGUUUUCUCUCUUAGUCGCACGACCACAACGCAUUGGCAUUUACAUUCACCGGCAUCUGCGCGUAGGUUGGGACUCUUAGAGUAGCGCUGCCGGCGCAUCACCGCCGCAUCCUCCGUUGAUCCUUGGCCGCCUCUUCGUACACACACGGAUCAGUAAAAGUGCCACGCACUCAUGUCUCUUUUCGUGGUAAACACUCCCGAACAUGAGGGGCAGCUGAAGGAGCACCUCAUCGCGGCGCACAAGCGCAAGCCGCUCCUCGCCACCGUGUGGGCGAAUCCGCCGUCAGUGCUCAUCACGAACAGCGAAGGUGAGGUGCUGACCCCGGUGACGGAGCCUGCCGGCUCGACGGGACGCACGCAUCAGCCAACGGCAUUGGCGUGGCACCCCAGCGAGGCGCUUCUCGUGAUUGGGUGGAGCAACGGGGAGAUGAGCUUAUGGUUGAUGCCAUCCGUGAGCAGUCUUGCCUUGGGCGAUGACUACACCACGGCAGCCGCACGCAGCGCUGUGCAGUUGAUUGCGGCGAGGGCAGCUGUGCAGAGUAACGCGGAGGGCGCAGUUCGCGAACACGGCGCCGGAGCAGUCCUAGCCGCGGAGUGGUCGACGCGUGGUCUGUACCUCGUCUCCACAUCCCAGCAGCGCCACGUGGUGAUGUGGAUGCUGGAGCAGACCCCAACCGAGACGAGCGUUAACUUUAAGCUGAAACCCCUCUGGUCCGCUCAGGCGCGCGAGCCAAUUGUGCGCAUCAUUCACGUCCCUGGCAAGACCCCUCACUCUCCGACAGUGUUCAAUGCGUACGAUGGCGCCUCCGCUGCCGCUGCUGCGGAGGUCGGCGAUGACGACAUCAGCUUCCUUCUUGCCGACGGUAGCAGCUCUGUGGCGGCCAUCAACGAGGAUCAGCAGCUUUUUCCGUGUGCAAGACAGGAGGAGGCAAUUGUGUCGGUGCUUUACGACGCCACAAGCCGCACCCUCGUUACGCUUACCGCAACCUGCAUGAUUGAGGUGUAUCGUGUAGACGAGGACAUCAAGGGUAGCUCGACGCUGCGGCGCAAGCUAUCGGCCCCCUCCACCACGCCCACCACGUCUGCCGCCACGGGCGAGCGGAUUACCAUGACAAUGGUGUGGGCUUCGCCUGGUGUCGUGGCCUUUGGCAGCGGCGAUGAUCGCGUGCGCGUCUUAGACCUCUCGAACGAGUCGAUGGAUGUGCUGUUGCUCCCGCAGCCUGACCUGCACGUGUCGUCCUUGGCGGCCUUCGCCGCCAAAGGCAUUCUGACUGUCGGUACCGUGGAGGGCGUCUUGGCGGUCUUUCAGCACCGCGCCGCAUCCCUGUCGACAAGCCACCAUGCUUCAGAGGCGAGGGAAACAACGACCAUCAGCUCCCCGUUCGCUGCGGCUGCCGGGGUGGCGAACCAGUGGGAGGCGAUAGCGGUGCACCAGGUUGGCAAGUGCGUCGACCGAGUCGUCUUCACGGCUUUUGGCGAUGUGGCGUUGUGUCGUGGUGGCUCGGAGCUGCAGGUAUUGCACGAAAUCAUCCGCAAGCGCUCCUGGGACGGCGUCGCUGCGGUGACGCAGAUUUCGUCGGACAUGGUGGUGAUCGAGAGUGUCACGGGGUGCCAGUGCCUGCUGCAGAAUAAGGGGAACGUGCGCGGGCUGUCCAUCGCGUUCCCCAACAUCGCCCUUUGGAACGGGUCGCAGAUCGACCUAUACACCAUCAACGAGGCCACGUCCGAAUUCACGUUCGUGAACUUUGUGCUGACGACGAGCCCCGCCUUUGCCAUACACCGUGACGGCCUCAUCUACGUCAAGGGCAAUCGUAUCGUAUUCGAGACGAUGCAGCUCGCCCCCAUCGCACAGAUGACUUUUACCGAGUCCGAAGGCGUCCCAGUGAUCAUAGACAUCAUGAACGACUACCUCGUGGCAGUAUCGUCGAAGAACUACCUGCGACUCGCCCGGGUUUCGUCGCGCGAUUUACAGCAAGCCGGGCCAACUCGCCCGCUGACGUUUCCCAGCGCAUCACAGCCAACUGCCUCGGACACUGCUAGUGGCGCACCAGCAGCGGCACCAUCUGCCGCCAAAGAUACCAAUGCGCUCGAAGUGUCGGUCUCCACGGCGCGUGUGAACGCGCAAGGCCGUCGAGUCGCCUUGAUGACCAGCCUGGGACCCCUCGCGUUGCCUGAUACGCGCAUCUGGGUGUACGACUCCGACACUGACAAGAUGUCGUCCUUUGACUUCGGCAGCCGCAAUGAGAUGCCGAACUCUGUCUACUGGAACACACCAGAGCCGAACACGGGCACCGUCGGCGAGUUCGAGUACAUCCUGCUUGCCUGUGAGACAUACCAGAUCCACACGGAUGACAAGAAGGCGGCAUCAGAGGAGGUGGCGACGCCAAAGGCCGGCACGGACGGCAUCAACGACAAGAACGAGAGCGCCGAUCGCCCAGCUGGGCAGGAGAAUCUUCCCGAGGCGUUGCCGAACAUGGAGAACUACGCGGAGAAGAAGGCUGAGCUGGAGGAUGCGCGCCGCGGGUCCAUUGGCGCCACAAACUACGUUGCCCAGCGCGCGCACAACAUCGUCACGUUGUUCGCGACGCACGACGGGUUGGUCGUGCAGAACGUUGCGUCGAUGCGACGGUAUCAAAUUUGUCUGGUAGGCCUCACCAUCCCCGACUUCCUGCUCGCCUCUGUGAAGAUCAACGGCAACCCGAACAACGCGGAGGACUACGUGAUUGAGCAGAAGCGGUUGCGCGACUUUGAGGGCCUGAAGUCGGACAAGGACGUGGCCGUGCGGGAGGCGUUGAUGAAGUUUAGCUACUAUGCAACUAUUGGCAACAUGGAUGAGGCGUACCGGUGUGUCAAGAGCAUCAAGAACCCGGCGGCGUGGCAAGGGCUGGCUCGCCUGUGCGUGACGAGCGGGCGCCUCGACGUUGCGGCGGUGUGCUUGUCUACGAUGGAGGACUGCGUGGCCGCACGUGCCUUGCGGGAGGCCAGAGAGGACUACCCCGAUGACAAAGGCGUGCAACUGGCGACGCUUGCGCUCGGCCUGGGCAUGACCGAGGAGGCAGAGGAGCUGCUGCGCAAGUCGAAACGCUAUGACCUGCUGACCGAUGUGUACAUGGCGUGCGGCAAGUUUGAGCACGCCCAGCGUCACUCCGAGCGGUUUGACCGCGCCCGCAUUCGCCCGGUCGCGUACAAGUACGCGCAGUUCAUGGAGAGCCUUCAGAACAUGGAUGCCGCCAUCAUGUGGUACUACAACGCCAAGUGCGCCGGCACCGAUGUGCCACGCAUCUUCUUCCAGACAAACCGCAUGCACGAGCUCCGCCAGCUGAUGGUGACACAGAGCCAGCCGCCAUCGCCGUCGGCCGGCGCCAGCGCGCCGACGGCCCAGCCAGGGCGUGAUGAGCGACAGUCCGCCUUUGCCGCCAUCUUUCCACAAAAUCGCGAGCUGCUGCUGUGGUGGGCGCAGCACAGCGAGCGGCGCCGCAAUGUGCAGGAGGCGCUGCGCUUCUACCACGCCGGCGAGGACGUCUACAACGUUGUUCGAAUUCUGUGCUCACUGACUCCGCCAAAGCUGGACAGUGCAGCGCAACUGGUGAAUAAGGAGAUCGAAAAGGCGAAGACGCGCUUUCAGCAGCAGCAAGCCUUUGCCGCCGCAGCGCCGAUCCACUGCGGAGACGACGAGCAAGGAGAGCCCGAUCCAGUGGGUGCCGCGUACUUUGUAGGGCAGCUGUACGAGCGACAGGGCAACCCUCAGCUGGCGCUGCAGUACUACCAGGCUGCCGGCGCAUACCGCAGUGGUGUUCGCGUCGCGUGGAAGACGGAGCAGUACGGCGUCGUAGUGAAUCUGGCGAUAAAGAGCUCCGACGAGCGUCUGAUGCUCGAGACGGCGAUGACGCUGGAGAAGCAGCAGGCGUACGACAAGGCCGUGCAGCUGUACCGCCGCAUCGGCGCCGUGCAAUGCGCCCUCGACGCCUGCGUGCGGGGCGGUCUGUACGAGACCCUGCACGAGGUGAGCGCCACCUUUGCCAGCGGCUCCACCGACCCGGCGGUCUUCCUCGGCAUGGCGGACCACUUCCAGAGCGAGGGCGACUACCAGAAAGCGGUGGAGAUGCUCCUCUUCGCGAAGCAUUUCGAUGAAGCGUUGAAGCUGUGCGAGAUGCGCAGUGUCACCCUGACAGAGGAGAUGGCAGAGUCUAUGACGAGCGACAUGGGCAAGCUGUCCAUGGAAGAGAGGCAGGCGGUGCUGCGUAGGGUGGCCCACAUUGCCAAGGAUCAGGGCAGCUGGUCCUUGGCAUGCAAAAAGUAUACUCAGGCUGGCGAUCGCGUCAAGGCGAUGCGGAUGCUCAUGCGUGGCGGUGAGACAGAGAAGGUCAUCUUCUUCGCAAACCACUCGCGCAACGUGGAAAUCUACACCAUGGCUGCGAACUUCCUGCAAUCGCAGAACUGGAGCACCGACGCGAGCAUCUACAAGAGCAUCAUUCUCUUCUACACAAAGGCGAAAGCAUGGACGAAUCUGCUCGUUUUCUAUGAGUCGUGCGCGCAGCUGCACAUCGACGAGAACCGAAACUACCCAGAGGCGCUGCGUGCGUUGGAGGAAUGCGUCGCCAUGGCCGAAAGCGGGUCAGCGGGCAAGGCGAACAUCGACAGCGAGAAGGUGGAGCAGCUGAAGCGGCGCGCCGAGGUACUGAAGGCGUUCGUGAAGGCGCAGAAGACGGUCGACUCUAUGGUAGUCGCCGACCGUGGCUCUGUCGCGGAGAAGGCGAAGGCGGACAGCGUCAUCGCCUCCUGCUCUGACAUCAUCAAACGCAGCCGCCCUUCCAGCCCAGAUCACGAUCUCAUACAAGACGCCCUCCGCAUUGGCGACGUGUUUGCUCUCAUGGUGCGCUUUUACUUUGACAAGCUCGGCGAGUCGAACAACGCGCUGAAGGUGAUGGAGAGCAUGCCGAAACACGGCGCCGAUCCGCAGUUCUUCAUUGAGACAGACUACAUGGAGCGGGUCUGCCAGGCCAACGGCAAGUCGCUUGCUAAUGUGUUGCCUGGCGUCAUGACGGCCGGCGCCCCUGGGGCAAUGUGGGAAGGAGGUCGAAAGGCGAGCACGGACACACGACGGUCCAGCGUGAUUGAUGAAGUAGAUCGGGCCGUCUAGUCUAGGCGACGGCACGGCGGUGUGCCCUCCAGCUCCUGCAUGGCAGGCUCACUCGCACUCCGCUGUAGAAGAACCCGUGGGUAUGGACGUGUGUACACGUGCAGAUGUGCGUGCCCGAGGGAGAGGAGGCAGACGUUUCUCUUGUACAUAUAUAUUUUGUGCUGUUGCUCGCCUCCCCUCCCCUCCUCACUGCCUCUCGUUGCGCGUGCGUGUGUGCUGGCUGCCGUGCUUUCAUGGCUAGUCUCUUUUUUUAGUUUUCCUCUGUCCGUUGCUCUCGCCACCCUCGCCGCCUCCACCUCAGCCGGUCUCAUCCUCACAUUGACCGACUUUGAUGGUGGCAGAGGCCACAGACUCCUUCCGUGUUGUCGGCGAGCAGCUCUCUUUGCUCUCCGUCGCUCUCGCUUGGAUGUAUAACAGCAGCAGUGAAGCAUAAAAAGCCCAUCGAAGGAGUCGGCCACUCACAUGGAUGGGACACGACGCGCUGACCAGCACGCGGAAGGCUUCCACUUGUUGCUACAAACUACCGCGUGUAGCAACAAGAGGAAAAGCAAGAGGCGAG